This 232-nucleotide ribosomal RNA is filed under the name uncultured bacterium. RNAcentral describes it as "partial 16S ribosomal RNA". It matches the Rfam family "Bacterial small subunit ribosomal RNA", at positions 99 to 334 of the family's 1533-position model. The record is from RNAcentral.
CGGACGGGUGAGUAAUGUCUGGGAAACUGCCCGAUGGAGGGGGAUAACUACUGGAAACGGUAGCUAAUACCGCAUAACGUCGCAAGACCAAAGAGGGGGACCUUAGGGCCUCUUGCCAUCGGAUGUGCCCAGAUGGAAUUAGCUAGUAGGUGGGGUAACGGCUCACCUAGGCGACGAUCCCUAGCUGGUCUGAGAGGAUGACCAGCCACACUGGAACUGAGACACGGUCCAG